UUAUGAUGUCCUUAAUAGUGGACCAUAAUUGCUGAGUGGUAAUUGGUGAAGGCGUGAUUACACAUUUAGCUUUCAGAACAACUGUGAACAUUCCCUUAACGAUUAUUAACGUCUUUAUUUGUUAAGUUGUGUAUGAUAAAUUGUAUGGAAUAUGGGUUGAAUUGUGCAGGUUGUUCAUCAUUAUUUAACAAGAAAUCUACGUAAUUGUCGGCACUAAACGUCGAUAUAGGAUGAAAUAAUGAUAUGAACCGGGAUUCAGAUGUGACAUUGAUAAGUGUGUGCGAGUGCUUGAUGUGUGUAAAUGGGGUUACCUUAGUGAGGGUUUAGGUAUUGAUGCUAUCCCAAACAAAACAGCAGAUUGGAUAGGGGUUGUUAGUUAUGUGAGGAGUACAUUGCAAGGCCAAGCAUAGCCUUGCUGAAAAGGCCAUCGUCAUCUCUGAUUCAGAGGUGGAGGCGGAAGCUCCGGUCGAAGUUAUACCGUAGUCUCGGCAGGCGGAGGGUGCUGAUAGUUCGGCUCUCCUCCGAGGUUGAGGACUCCGGUUGAAUGUUAGGCAGUGUGGAUGGCAAGGAGGUGAGGGUGACGUGGGUGUUGGCUCCAACCGGAGAGGACACAAGACUCAGUCUCUCAGAGAUGGAGGUGGAUAUUUCGGUUGGAUGAUGAGGUGGAGGUGAGAGAGAUGGCCGUAGUCCCAGAAUCUGGGAGGGUCCAGUUUGAGGAGGAUAUGCAGGUGGUGGGAAGAUGGUGUGGUCUGAGAGUGGGGGUGCCUAGAAAUGCGGCGCCGUCCGCAUUGGGUUGUCACUUUCACUGGAGCCACACAUUAAGUAAUCGGUCAUGAGGGCCCAGUGGGCUCGUACACCGGCAGGGGGGGAACUAGAGUGGUGUAUAGAUUGGUGUGGUUUUGACCAGAUUUCUGGUGGGUCAUGUGGGGGAAGGGCUAUGAGCUGUGUGGUGUAAUAUAUGGUGUAACCUGGGGACGGGCAGCUCAGUGGGUGGGAAUAAAUAAUUUUGAUAUUCUCCUGAUGACUUAAAUGCCUUAGAUUUGGUUAUGUAUUAAAAAAUUAUAAGGUUAAACCUUAGACGGGGAUUGGAAAGCUAAAUUGGGCUAGGGAGGGGGGCUUGUUAGAACGGGGAGGAGUGUGGUGGAGACCGGUUUGACUUGGCCGUUCGGACCCCAAAUGCGGUGACUUCUGGGAAAUGGUCUUCAGUUCCGGUUCUGCUAUUCCUAGACGACUGUGUUGUAUUACGUUCUCCUUGGAAAUCCAAGAUGUCCUGGGUGAUCCUCAGUUCGAGUGAUCCAAGCCAGCGACAGAGCUAUGAAUACCUCAGGAAGAUUAUUCGAGCUAAGAAGAAAGGGUUUAAAGGGAUCUUUUCACGCUUUGCUAUGCCGUUCAUGCCAUCUUAUCGAGAUCUGAUAUUUCUGGCUGUGGAUUAUGGAAAAUAAGACAUUGCUUUCUAUCUGGCCAACACUGGUGCUGACUUGAUCAGCAAAGAAAAGUACGAGAAGACACAACCAGACAGCACAAAAGACGUGAAAUUGUACAACCCACCCGAGAGAGCAGAACACCUCGGCAUGACUGACCUGGCAGCAUUCCUUCAGGUCAAGUUGACCUAUCAACGAGAAAAGAGGCGACAGCAGACUCCACUCCUGCCUAAACGUGCCAUUCAGAAACACUUUGAUGUCAACGUCAAAGAGUUCGAGCGAUCCAAGUCGUGCGCGUUUGUCACUCAGUCGGUUGUGUGACUUCCUGGAUUCUCUACUUUGUGACAUUUUGAGUGCCCAACUUAACUUACAAUAUACUGAUUUUAUACCAUGAUAUAAAUUGGUGCUCAUAGGAAUUUUUACAUGGCUUAUCGUAUAUUGUGUAAUAUUGCCUAACUUUUAUUCUUCAGCGAACUUGUUUGUGACUGAGUGCUUUUAUUCUACACCCCAUGGCCUCUAAAAUACUAUGUUUGUCACGUUUGUGUUCUUUAAAGUCAUAACCCCCAAGGUUAGACAGGGUGA
Dreissena polymorpha is the source of this 2003-nucleotide long non-coding RNA. RefSeq lists it as uncharacterized. The record is from RefSeq and is a predicted model, not a curated record. Lineage: Eukaryota; Metazoa; Mollusca; Bivalvia; Myida; Dreissenidae. The transcript is spliced from 4 exons.